Molecule: long non-coding RNA, 1395 nt
Organism: Cephus cinctus (wheat stem sawfly)
Lineage: Eukaryota; Metazoa; Arthropoda; Insecta; Hymenoptera; Cephidae
Exons: 5
Source: RefSeq, a predicted model, not a curated record
CCCAGCUGACAGAGUUUAACGGCAGUAGAUAAUAGAAGCAAGUUACCGGAUUUCACGUAUAAUUUUGCUAAAGUAAUGCCAGUGAGGAGAAUCCGUGCAGCAAGAAGUAGUGAAGAAGAUAGCAGCAGUUUCUCCGGAUAGAAUUAUCCUCAGCCAAAAAAGGUAUUUUUGGCCAGUGAUAAAGCCGAUCGCUCUUUUUCCAUACAAACUUGUGGUCUGCGUAACGAGAAGGAAUAAUCUGAUUUCUACCUUCUUCUGUCAUAUUCCAUUAACUCUCUUUCCUCCCUACGAAAUCGACACACUCUAGGUUAGGAAUCCUUAACGCGACUUCUUUUCAAACACGAUUUCCUACACUCCGUACACGUUGACAGGUUAGGUUAUGCUCGCUCAGCAGGCAAUUCGACAGAUAGACAUCUCUUGAUUUUUACACGGUAAUCUCUACCCACCAUCACUGUUUCUACAUGCAUAGACACUCGUGAAUAAAACUACGAGAAGGGGACGGAAAAUUUGGUUAAUUUACAAGACUAUCAGUUUAAAUAGCUGGGCCCUUAACAUUGUCGGAUAUUGGCGUCGCGGUUAGGCAAUGCGUUGGUGAAUUUUGACUGUGAACACCUGGUGUCCAAAUAAUGGAUUUCGAGUGGACAAACGCUCUGACAAUUCAAAAGUUGGUAGACACAAUGUACUGUCACUUUCAACAAAGUUUAUGCUGAAAGUUCCACGAUUUACCUGCAUAAACAGAAGCGUGGCUGUUCCAAACGCCAUUGUGCUAAACGAUCGGGCCCAUCCUAUUUACUCCGUAUAAUUGUUCUCAUCUGUUUCCGACGGCUGACGUGAAGGACGCAAGCACCGAACAAACUGGAUAUUCAUCGUAUGCAGAUAUAUGCAUAUUUGAUAUAAAUACAAGCAGACUAAACUACGUCCACAUUGGCGCCGCGCAACCAACUUCAUUCUGUACAUUUGACCUGGAUAGACCAAGCAAAUAAAUUGGCGGCCACGAGUAAUAAAUUAAAAGUGAACGUAAGAAGAGCAUUCAUAAGCGAAAAUAAAAGAAAUGAGUAACGCUGACUCCAAUUUCCGGCGGACGACGACGUGCCUCGUAAUUCUCUUAAGCCUCGACUGUUACCACCCUCCUGAGAUGUCACAGGACGAAAGAAAACGAGCAUCCCUUAUACCUUACUGAGUUGCAGAUACCCUUUUCCUGAAAGCGUCCUCGAACAGAAGCUGCCCACCCACAUGUGUACUCCCGCUCACCUGCUACCUGAUUAUAUACUACCCAGCUGCCUACCAAGCUAAAGAAGAGCUACCCACCCAGAAGAAAGAUUCUUCCUGCCACAGCGACAGGAAGUCUCGCUGUCGCAAUCGGAAUUCAAUGCCGGGAUUGAUGGUUUAAUGGAG